RNAcentral lists this ribosomal RNA (328 nucleotides) under uncultured bacterium. RNAcentral describes it as "bacterial SSU rRNA". It matches the Rfam family "Bacterial small subunit ribosomal RNA", at positions 28 to 334 of the family's 1533-position model. The record is from RNAcentral.
GAUGAACGCUGGCGGCGUGCUUAACACAUGCAAGUCGAACGAAGCACCUUAUUCUGAUUUCUUCGGAAUGAAAAAUUUGGUGACUGAGUGGCGGACGGGUGAGUAACGCGUGGGUAACCUGCCUCAUACAGGGGGAGUAACAGUUAGAAAUGACUGCUAAUACCGCAUAAGACCACAGGAUCGCAUGAUCCGGUGGUAAAAACUACCGGUGGUAUGAGAUGGACCCGCGUCUGAUUAGCUAGUUGGUGGGGUAACGGCUCACCAAGGCGACGAUCAGUAGCCGACCUGAGAGGGUGACCGGCCACAUUGGGACUGAGACACGGCCCAA